CCGGAAAAAAAAAAAAGGAAUCGUGGCGGCUUGCCGUUAUACUGCUUGUCAAACGUCGUCGCAUGCGCAAGCUGAGACGUAUGUAAGCUUGCUUCUCUGAUGUUAGCGGCGGACGGGUGAGUAACACGUGGAUAACCUACCUAUAAGACUGGGAUAACUUCGGGAAACCGGAGCUAAUACCGGAUAAUAUUUUGAACCGCAUGGUUCAAAAGUGAAAGACGGUCUUGCUGUCACUUAUAGAUGGAUCCGCGCUGCAUUAGCUAGUUGGUAAGGUAACGGCUUACCAAGGCAACGAUGCAUAGCCGACCUGAGAGGGUGAUCGGCCACACUGGAACUGAGACACGGUCCAGACUCCUACGGGAGGCAGCAGUAGGGAAUCUUCCGCAAUGGGCGAAAGCCUGACGGAGCAACGCCGCGUGAGUGAUGAAGGUCUUCGGAUCGUAAAACUCUGUUAUUAGGGAAGAACAUAUGUGUAAGUAACUGUGCACAUCUUGACGGUACCUAAUCAGAAAGCCACGGCUAACUACGUGCCAGCAGCCGCGGUAAUACGUAGGUGGCAAGCGUUAUCCGGAAUUAUUGGGCGUAAAGCGCGCGUAGGCGGUUUUUUAAGUCUGAUGUGAAAGCCCACGGCUCAACCGUGGAGGGUCAUUGGAAACUGGAAAACUUGAGUGCAGAAGAGGAAAGUGGAAUUCCAUGUGUAGCGGUGAAAUGCGCAGAGAUAUGGAGGAACACCAGUGGCGAAGGCGACUUUCUGGUCUGUAACUGACGCUGAUGUGCGAAAGCGUGGGGAUCAAACAGGAUUAGAUACCCUGGUAGUCCACGCCGUAAACGAUGAGUGCUAAGUGUUAGGGGGUUUCCGCCCCUUAGUGCUGCAGCUAACGCAUUAAGCACUCCGCCUGGGGAGUACGACCGCAAGGUUGAAACUCAAAGGAAUUGACGGGGACCCGCACAAGCGGUGGAGCAUGUGGUUUAAUUCGAAGCAACGCGAAGAACCUUACCAAAUCUUGACAUCCUUUGACAACUCUAGAGAUAGAGCCUUCCCCUUCGGGGGACAAAGUGACAGGUGGUGCAUGGUUGUCGUCAGCUCGUGUCGUGAGAUGUUGGGUUAAGUCCCGCAACGAGCGCAACCCUUAAGCUUAGUUGCCAUCAUUAAGUUGGGCACUCUAAGUUGACUGCCGGUGACAAACCGGAGGAAGGUGGGGAUGACGUCAAAUCAUCAUGCCCCUUAUGAUUUGGGCUACACACGUGCUACAAUGGACAAUACAAAGGGCAGCGAAACCGCGAGGUCAAGCAAAUCCCAUAAAGUUGUUCUCAGUUCGGAUUGUAGUCUGCAACUCGACUACAUGAAGCUGGAAUCGCUAGUAAUCGUAGAUCAGCAUGCUACGGUGAAUACGUUCCCGGGUCUUGUACACACCGCCCGUCACACCACGAGAGUUUGUAACACCCGAAGCCGGUGGAGUAACCUUUUAGGAGCUAGCCGUCGAAGGUGGGACAAAUGAUUGGGG
Molecule: ribosomal RNA, 1505 nt
Filed under: Staphylococcus aureus
Lineage: Bacteria; Bacillati; Bacillota; Bacilli; Caryophanales; Staphylococcaceae
Description: bacterial SSU rRNA
Rfam family: Bacterial small subunit ribosomal RNA
Source: RNAcentral